GACGACGCUGGCGGCGUGCUUAACACAUGCAAGUCGAACGGUGACGAGGAGCUUGCUCCUCUGAUCAGUGGCGAACGGGUGAGUAACACGUGAGCAACCUGCCCCAGACUCUGGGAUAACAGUUGGAAACAGCUGCUAAUACCGGAUACGAGGCGGAGAGGCAUCUCUACCGUCUGGAAAGUUUUUCGGUCUGGGAUGGACUCGCGGCCUAUCAGCUAGUUGGUGAGGUAAUGGCUCACCAAGGCGACGACGGGUAGCCGGCCUGAGAGGGCGACCGGCCACACUGGGACUGAGACACGGCCCAGACUCCUACGGGAGGCAGCAGUGGGGAAUAUUGCACAAUGGGCGAAAGCCUGAUGCAGCGACGCCGCGUGAGGGAUGAAGGCCUUCGGGUUGUAAACCUCUUUCAGCAGGGAAGAAGCGAAAGUGACGGUACCUGCAGAAGAAGCACCGGCUAACUACGUG
Molecule: ribosomal RNA, 465 nt
Filed under: uncultured bacterium
Lineage: Bacteria
Description: bacterial SSU rRNA
Rfam family: Bacterial small subunit ribosomal RNA
Source: RNAcentral